CCUACGGGAGGCAGCAGUGGGGAAUUUUGGACAAUGGGGGCAACCCUGAUCCAGCCAUUCCGCGUGAGUGAAGAAGGCCUUCGGGUUGUAAAGCUCUUUCGCAAGGGAAGAAAACUUAUGAUCGAAUAAAUCAUGAGGUUGACGGUACCUUGAUAAGAAGCACCGGCUAACUACGUGCCAGCAGCCGCGGUAAUACGUAGGGUGCGAGCGUUAAUCGGAAUUACUGGGCGUAAAGCGUGCGCAGGCGGUUUUGUAAGUCGGAUGUGAAAUCCCCGGGCUCAACCUGGGAACUGCGUUCGAAACUGCAAGGCUAGAGUGUGUCAGAGGGGGGUAGAAUUCCACGUGUAGCAGUGAAAUGCGUAGAGAUGUGGAGGAAUACCAAUGGCGAAGGCAGCCCCCUGGGAUAACACUGACGCUCAUGCACGAAAGCGUGGGGAGCAAACAGGAUUAGAUACCCUGGUAGUCCACGCCCUAAACGAUGUCAACUAGUUGUUGGUAGAGUAAAAUCUAUGAGUAACGUAGCUAACGCGUGAAGUUGACCGCCUGGGGAGUACGGUCGCAAGNUUAAAACUCAAAGGAAUUGACGGCUGAGACGNGCGAGACGACGACGAGGGAGAGG
RNAcentral lists this ribosomal RNA (619 nucleotides) under uncultured bacterium. RNAcentral describes it as "bacterial SSU rRNA". It matches the Rfam family "Bacterial small subunit ribosomal RNA", at positions 338 to 947 of the family's 1533-position model. The record is from RNAcentral.